Molecule: transfer RNA, 78 nt
Filed under: Candidatus Omnitrophota bacterium
Lineage: Bacteria; Pseudomonadati; Candidatus Omnitrophota
Description: tRNA-Glu
Rfam family: tRNA
About the family: Transfer RNA (tRNA) molecules are approximately 80 nucleotides in length.
Source: RNAcentral
GUCCCCAUCGUCUAGUCCGGUCCAGGACAUCAGAUUUUCAUUCUGAGAACACCGGUUCAAAUCCGGUUGGGGACGCCA